GCAUGGCUGUCGUCAGCUCGUGUCGUGAGAUGUUGGGUUAAGUCCCGCAACGAGCGCAACCCUCAUCCUUAGUUACCAUCAGGUAAUGCUGGGGACUUUAAGGAAACUGCCAGUGAUAAACUGGAGGAAGGUGGGGAUGAUGUCAAGUCAUCAUGGCCCUUAUGGAGUGGGCUACACACGUGCUACAAUGGUGGCUACAAUGGGCUGCAAAGUCGCGAGGCUAAGCUAAUCCCUUAAAAGCCAUCUCAGUUCGGAUUGUACUCUGCAACUCGAGUACAUGAAGUUGGAAUCGCUAGUAAUCGUGGAUCAGCAUGCCACGGUGAAUACGUUCUCGGGUCUUGUACACACUGCCCGUCACGCCAUGGGAAUUGGUUUCACUCGAAGCUAACGACCUAACCGCAAGGAGGGAGUUAUUUAAAGUGGGAUCGGUGACUGGGGUGAAGUCGUAACAAGGUAGCCGUAGAAUCACUAGUGAAUUCGCGGCCGCCUGCAGGUCGACCAUAUGGGAGAGCUCCCAACGCGUG
Molecule: ribosomal RNA, 524 nt
Filed under: uncultured Wolbachia sp.
Lineage: Bacteria; Pseudomonadati; Pseudomonadota; Alphaproteobacteria; Rickettsiales; Anaplasmataceae
Description: bacterial SSU rRNA
Rfam family: Bacterial small subunit ribosomal RNA
Source: RNAcentral